GCAAGUCGAACGGUAACAGGAAGCAGCUUGCUGCUUUGCUGACGAGUGGCGGACGGGUGAGUAAUGUCUGGGAAACUGCCUGAUGGAGGGGGAUAACUACUGGAAACGGUAGCUAAUACCGCAUAACGUCGCAAGACCAAAGAGGGGGACCUUCGGGCCUCUUGCCAUCGGAUGUGCCCAGAUGGGAUUAGCUAGUAGGUGGGGUAACGGCUCACCUAGGCGACGAUCCCUAGCUGGUCUGAGAGGAUGACCAGCCACACUGGAACUGAGACACGGUCCAGACUCCUACGGGAGGCAGCAGUGGGGAAUAUUGCACAAUGGGCGCAAGCCUGAUGCAGCCAUGCCGCGUGUAUGAAGAAGGCCUUCGGGUUGUAAAGUACUUUCAGCGGGGAGGAAGGGAGUAAAGUUAAUACCUUUGCU
RNAcentral lists this ribosomal RNA (420 nucleotides) under Enterobacter hormaechei. RNAcentral describes it as "bacterial SSU rRNA". It matches the Rfam family "Bacterial small subunit ribosomal RNA", at positions 57 to 473 of the family's 1533-position model. The record is from RNAcentral. Lineage: Bacteria; Pseudomonadati; Pseudomonadota; Gammaproteobacteria; Enterobacterales; Enterobacteriaceae.